CGAAUUAACUUUAUAUAAUCUAAGUUUACUGCUUCUUUUAUUUUUAAAGUUGCAAUAACAGUUUAACCGUAUUAUUAAUAAAUAUAUAGAAUAUAUUUAAAUAACACCUUAAUUAGAUUAAUGAAAAUGAUUAAAAGAUAUAAGAUAUUUUUUAAAUUACGUUGUUAAAAAUUUUAUUGACUGCUAUUCCCGACGAUAUAUCCCACAAUAUAAUAUACCCAUCGUGACUUGCACUAAUCAUCAAAUUAGGAUCUUUGGGAUGUUGUUCUAAUACAAAUAUGUCGUCUGAAAUGAAUAUGAAAUUAUUUGGGCGAAAAAUGUAUUAUCCCUUCGAUCCAAUUCUCGAAUUGAAUUAUUCGUGAAAUAUGAAUCGAAUAAUCCGUUUUAAGUAAUAGUUAUGAUAUAAUGGCCUGUGCGAUCAAAACAAACGCAAUAAACGGAAGAUAAAUGACCCAAAAUACAGUGAAAUUUAUGAUAUACAAAUCGGUACAGAAAUUCAGAAUUAGAUGACACACUUAAACCUGACGCAAAAAAAGAUCAUCGACCAUAAAAUCCGAUGAUGAUCGCUCUCUUAAUUUAAAAAAUUUAUAAUUUAAUACAAAGUCACCAUUUUUUUGGUCAAAUCAUAUUUUGAUGCUCACCUUAUCGACAGCGGCAAUAAAUUUAGACAAGUUGGCAUUUAAAUAUCUAUCAAAAUAUUUCAAGGACCAAAAGUUAACACAACGAAUUCAAGAUAUUUGGAAAAAAUUUGGAAUAUUAGCUUUUAAUCUAUCACAAUAAUCCCAAAAACGAUUCAAAUUCUAAACUAAGGAAAUAACUACAAAAUAAAGUUCAAACAAUAUAUUGUAUUUACAUUUUUUAAAUUAAUUUAUUUUGUUAUAAAUAGCUAUAAACAUUAAUUCUUCUGUAAAUAAUCGUUUUAUAUUAACUUGUUAUAAAUAAGCGGUUUGAUAUCAAGUCAUAGCAGACGAAUAAAUAAUGCUAUAAAACCAUUUAAAAUAGCAUAAUUUUUUUUAUAAAUAUGAUUCAGUAAAAAAAAAUUUAUUUCCAACAUCAUAUUCUAAAUUUAACUAAAAACACUAUGAAAAAUUAUAUAUUCCUUUAUACUAAGGGAUAAAUUCUAUUAUAAAAUUUUUAAAACAAUAACUGGAACAAGCAGACGCAAGAUAAUUAAAUAAUCGACGCCAUUUUUUGUUUAUUAUUUUUUUAUAAAGCGCAAAAAUUAUUCCGCGUAAAAAAAAAUUUUUUAUAAAUAAAAAUCAUAUGUUUAUUUUCUAUCGCGCAA
Gordionus sp. m RMFG-2023 is the source of this 1285-nucleotide long non-coding RNA. RefSeq lists it as uncharacterized. The record is from RefSeq and is a predicted model, not a curated record. NCBI's taxonomy places the organism in Eukaryota, Metazoa, Nematomorpha, Gordioida, Chordodea, Parachordodidae. The transcript is spliced from 5 exons.